CGAGCGGAAACGAGUUAUCUGAACCUUCGGGGAACGAUAACGGCGUCGAGCGGCGGACGGGUGAGUAAUGCCUAGGAAAUUGCCCUGAUGUGGGGGAUAACCAUUGGAAACGAUGGCUAAUACCGCAUGAUGCCUACGGGCCAAAGAGGGGGACCUUCGGGCCUCUCGCGUCAGGAUAUGCCUAGGUGGGAUUAGCUAGUUGGUGAGGUAAGGGCUCACCAAGGCGACGAUCCCUAGCUGGUCUGAGAGGAUGAUCAGCCACACUGGAACUGAGACACGGUCCAGACUCCUACGGGAGGCAGCAGUGGGGAAUAUUGCACAAUGGGCGCAAGCCUGAUGCAGCCAUGCCGCGUGUGUGAAGAAGGCCUUCGGGUUGUAAAGCACUUUCAGUCGYGAGGAAGGUAUGUAGUUAAUAGCUGCAUUAUUUGACGU
RNAcentral lists this ribosomal RNA (432 nucleotides) under uncultured prokaryote. Its description in RNAcentral is "bacterial SSU rRNA". It matches the Rfam family "Bacterial small subunit ribosomal RNA", at positions 63 to 475 of the family's 1533-position model. The record is from RNAcentral.